RNAcentral lists this long non-coding RNA (566 nucleotides) under Elaeis guineensis (African oil palm). Its description in RNAcentral is "long non-coding RNA (EGUI_LNC007382)". The record is from RNAcentral. Lineage: Eukaryota; Viridiplantae; Streptophyta; Magnoliopsida; Arecales; Arecaceae.
CUGCCUUCAGUUUCAUAUGGAUCGAUUGUAGCUUCUUUGGCUCGUGCAUACUUUUGUACCUAUACAAGGAGGUCAGUAUAAUUUCUUAAAAAUUUUUUGUCUAGAACAAAAAAUAAGCUUAGAAUUCUCAGUUCUUGCUUCGUAGACCACCAAUGUGGCAACACUGAACUGAGCCAUGUAAUCUCUCAAGGACUCAUUUUUUUUGCCAGAUUUGAGAAGAGGCCAUCAGAGUUUAGUGGCUGCUUCCUGCUGCUACUGAAGUGUGCCAUGAACUACCUUCACUACUACUCGAAGGAGUGAAUUAUACCUGGCUAAAGAUCGAAAUACUGCACUUGAGCAGAAUUCCUUAGUGUGGUGGGGAAGGGAAGGCAUAGGAGGGCAUCCAAGGUACCUUGAAUCAACAUGAGAGCUUUAUAGCUCUCAAGAUGGUCUAGUGGAUUAGAGGAGCCAUCAUAUGGCUCCAACUUUGGCAUAUUGAAUCGAGCUGGAAUUGGUUCUUCCAUAAUCCUCUGAGAAAAUAGAUGUGAGUUGAAGUCGAGACCAUCCUAUCCCUAGCUCCCCUCUUA